RNAcentral lists this ribosomal RNA (492 nucleotides) under uncultured bacterium. RNAcentral describes it as "partial 16S ribosomal RNA". It matches the Rfam family "Bacterial small subunit ribosomal RNA", at positions 28 to 507 of the family's 1533-position model. The record is from RNAcentral.
GAUGAACGCUAGCUACAGGCUUAACACAUGCAAGUCGAGGGGAAACGCCAUCGAAAGCUUGCUUUUGAUGGGCGUCGACCGGCGCACGGGUGAGUAACGCGUAUCCAACCUGCCCACCACUUGGGGAUAACCUUGCGAAAGUAAGACUAAUACCCAAUGAUAUCUCUAGAAGACAUCUGAAAGAGAUUAAAGAUUUAUCGGUGAUGGAUGGGGAUGCGUCUGAUUAGCUUGUUGGCGGGGUAACGGCCCACCAAGGCAACGAUCAGUAGGGGUUCUGAGAGGAAGGUCCCCCACAUUGGAACUGAGACACGGUCCAAACUCCUACGGGAGGCAGCAGUGAGGAAUAUUGGCCAAUGGACGAGAGUCUGAACCAGCCAAGUAGCGUGCAGGAAGACGGCCCUAUGGGUUGUAAACUGCUUUUAUAAGGGAAUAAAGUGAGUCUCGUGAGACUUUUUGCAUGUACCUUAUGAAUAAGGACCGGCUAAUUCCGUG